AGUGAACGCUGGCGAUAGGCCUAACACAUGCAAGUCGAACGGCAGCACAGUAAGAGCUUGCUCUUACGGGUGGCGAGUGGCGGGCGGGUGAGGAAUACAUCGGAAUCUACUUUUUCGUGGGGGAUACCGUAGGGAAACUUACGCUAUUACCCCUUACGACCACCGGGUGAAAGAAGGGGAUCUUCGGCCCUUGCGGGAUGGAAGGACCGAUUGUCGGAUUAGUUAGUUGGGGGGGUAAAGGCCCCCCAAGGCGACGAUCCGUAGCUGGUCUGAGAGGAUGAUCAGCCACACUGGAACUGAGACACGGUCCAGACUCCUACGGGAGGCAGCAGUGGGGAAUAUUGGACAAUGGGCGCAAGCCUGAUCCAGCCAUACCGCGUGGGUGAAGAAGGCCUUCGGGUUGUAAAGCCCUUUUGUUGGGAAAGAAAAGCAGCAGGUUAAUACCCCGCUGUUCUGACGGUACCCAAAGAAUAAGCACCGGCUAACUUCGUG
This 492-nucleotide ribosomal RNA is filed under the name uncultured bacterium. RNAcentral's name for it is "partial 16S ribosomal RNA". It matches the Rfam family "Bacterial small subunit ribosomal RNA", at positions 29 to 507 of the family's 1533-position model. The record is from RNAcentral.